UCCUUUUUUCCGGAGACCGCGCCUACUCUUAGCUGAGCGGGCGCGGGAGACGGAUCGUUUACUUUGAAAAAAUCAGAGUGUUUCAAGCAGGCAGCUCGCUCUUGCAUGGAUUAGCAUGGGAUAAUGAAAUAGGACUCUGGUGCUAUUUUGUUGGUUUCGAACACUGGAGUAAUGAUUNACAGGGACAGUCAGGGGCACUCGUAUUCCGUCGAGAGAGGUGAAAUUCUCAGACCAAUGGAAGACGAACCACUGCGAAAGCAUUUGCCAGGGAUGUUUUCACUGAUCAAGAACGAAAGUUAGGGGAUCGAAGACGAUCAGAUACCGUCGUAGUCUUAACCAUAAACCAUGCCGACUAGGGAUUGGAGGGUGUUCUAUUCGACCCCUUCAGCACCUUACGGGAAACUAAAGUCUUUGGGUUCCGGGGGGAGUAUGGUCGCAAGGCUGAAACUUAAAGGAAUUGACGGAAGGGCACCACCAGGAGUGG
This 484-nucleotide ribosomal RNA is filed under the name uncultured eukaryote. Its description in RNAcentral is "SSU rRNA". It matches the Rfam family "Eukaryotic small subunit ribosomal RNA", at positions 694 to 1179 of the family's 1831-position model. The record is from RNAcentral.